GUUCGUUUUUAUGAGCGUUCGGUGGAUGCCUUGGCAUCGGGGGCCGAUGAAGGACGCGGUGGCCUGCGAUAUUCCUCGGGGAGCCGGCUUGCGGGCUGUGAUCCGAGGGUUUCCGAAUGGGGGGACCCGGCGCCCGUUGUGGGGCGUCACCCGCGUCUGAAUGUCAUAGGGCGCGGGGGGUGACGCGGGGAAGUGAAACAUCUCAGUACCCGCAGGAGUGGAUAUUCCGUGAGUAGUGGCGAGCGGAAGCGGAUGAUGGUUAAACCGUGCGCGUGCGAUCACCCGGCGGGGGUUGCGGGCGCGGUGUUGUUUGGGGCGCGUUCUUCCCGUCGCCGCCGCGGCGGGGCGCAGUGCAUUGAACCGGUCGGGUAGCCGAAUCCCCUGGGAUGGGGGGCCGCAGCGGGUGACAGCCCCGUAGGCGGAACCCGGCGGGCUGCGCGGGCGCGGCCCCCAGUAGCACGGGGCCCGUGGAAUCCUGUGUGAAUCUGCCGAGACCACUCGGCCGCCUGAAUACCUCCCGAUGACCGAUAGCGGACGAGUACCGUGAGGGAAUGGUGAAAAGUACCCCGGGAGGGGAGUGAAACAGUACCUGAAACCGGGCGCUCACGAGCCGUCAGAGCCCCUUGUGCGCAUCCUCGGGCCGUGUGUCCGGGGGGCGGGGGGUGAUGGCGUGCCUAUUGAAGAAUGAGCCUGCGAGUCGCCGCCGCGUCGCGAGGUUAACCCGUGUGGGGGAGCCGUAGCGACAGCGAGUCCGAAUGGGGCGCCCAGUGGCGCGGCGCGGACCCGAAGCGGGGUGAUCUACCCAUGGCCAGGUUGAAGCACGUGUAAGAGCGUGUGGAGGACCGAACCCACCUAGGUUGAAAACUGGGGGGAUGAGCUGUGGGUAGGGGUGAAAGGCCAAUCAAACUCCGUGAUAGCUGGUUCUCCCCGAAAUGCAUUUAGGUGCAGCGUCGCAUAUUAUGCUUGUUGGAGGUAGAGCUACUGGUUGGUUGAGCGGGACGAUAAUCUUAGCAACAUCAGCUAAACUCCGAAUGCCAGCAAUGUGGGUGCGGCAGUGAGACUGCGGGGGAUAAGCUCCGUUGGUCGAGAGGGAAACAGCCCAGAUCGUCGGUUAAGGCCCCUAAGGGUGUGCUCAGUGGGAAAGGAUGUGGGAUCGCGAAGACAGCCAGGAGGUUGGCUUAGAAGCAGCCAUCCUUGAAAGAGUGCGUAAUAGCUCACUGGUCGAGUGGUUCUGCGCCGAUAAUGUAGCGGGGCUUAAGUACACCGCCGAAACCGCGGCAACACAUGUAAAGGUGUGUUGGGUAGGGGAGCGUCGUGCAUGUGUUGAAGCUAUUUGGUGACAGGUGGUGGAGUGUGUGCGAGUGAGAAUGCAGGCAUGAGUAACGAUUGAUGUGUGAGAAACAUAUCCGCCGGAUGACUAAGGGUUCCUGGGUGAAGUUUGUCUUCCCAGGGUGAGUCGGGGCCUAAGGCGAGGCCGACAGGCGUAGUCGAUGGAUGACGGGUUGAUAUUCCCGUACCGGCGAAGCACCGACCAUGCUGACGCGCGGGUGCUAACCCACGCCCCUGCUGCCACGACAAGCCGCGGUCGUCUCCUUCGGGGGGUGGUCGUGGUUGUGGCGGCGGGUGGUCUGGGGGUCCUCCGUGCUGGUAGGCAAGCGUGUUAACAGGGGUGACGCACAGUGGUAGCCUCGCGGGCCUGAUGGCUUGGCCCGUUCAAGCGCGCGGCCCGGUCCCCAGGCAAAUCCGGGGGCCUGCCCCGCCGCCCCCUUGCGGGGGUGGUGGGGUGUGGGUGAGGCGUGAUGGUGACCCCGCAGCUGGCGGGGGAUAGCAGGGUGAUCCUGGGGUGCCGAGAAAAGCCUCGACGUGAUGGUGUCAGCCGCCCGUACCCUAAACCGACACAGGUGGUCCGGCAGAGUAUGCCUAGGCGAGCGAGUGAACCGUGGUGAAGGAACUCGGCAAAAUGCCCCCGUAACUUCGGGAGAAGGGGGGCCCGAACCCUGAAACGGCUGGCCCGUUAGGGGGGUGGGCCGCAGAGAGCAGGGGGGAGCGACUGUUUACUAAAAACACAGGUCCGUGCGAAGCCGUAAGGCGAUGUAUACGGACUGACGCCUGCCCGGUGCUGGAAGGUUAAGAGGAACCAUCAACCCCCUCGGGGGUGAAGUGGUGAAUUUAAGCCCCAGUAAACGGCGGUGGUAACUAUAACCAUCCUAAGGUAGCGAAAUUCCUUGUCGGGUAAGUUCCGACCUGCACGAAUGGCGUAACGACUCCCCCGCUGUCUCCACCACGGGCCCGGCGAAAUUGCAUUACGAGUAAAGAUGCUCGUUGCGCGCAGAAGGACGGAAAGACCCCGGGACCUUCACUGCAGCUUGGUAUUGGCGCCCGGUUCGGCUCGUGCAGGAUAGGUGGGAGACUGUGAGGCCGCCGCGUCAGCGGUGCGCGGAGUCGUCGUUGAGAUACCACUCCGGCCGUGUCGUGCGCCUGAACCUGGGCCCGUGAUCCGGGUCAGGGACAGUGCCUGGCGGGUAGUUCAACUGGGGCGGUUGCCUCCCAAAGGGUAACGGAGGCGCUCAAGGGUCCCCUCAGCCUGGUCGGCAACCAGGUGUCGAGUGCAAGUGCACAAGGGGGCUUGACUGCGAGACCGACGGGUCGGGCAGGUGCGAAAGCAGGAACUAGUGAUCCGGCGGCUCCGUGUGGACGGGCCGUCGCUCAACGGAUAAAAGGUACCCCGGGGAUAACAGGCUGAUCCUGCCCAAGAGUCCAUAUCGACGGCAUGGUUUGGCACCUCGAUGUCGGCUCGUCGCAUCCUGGGGCUGGAGCAGGUCCCAAGGGUUGGGCUGUUCGCCCAUUAAAGCGGUACGCGAGCUGGGUUUAGAACGUCGUGAGACAGUUCGGUCCCUAUCCUCUGCGCGCGCAGGAGACUUGAGGAGACCCGUCCCCAGUACGAGAGGACCGGGACGGACGGACCUCUGGUGCGCCAGUUGUCCCGCCAGGGGCACCGCUGGUUGGCCACGUCCGGGAAGGGUAACCGCUGAAGGCAUCUAAGCGGGAAACCACCUCCAAGACCAGGUCCCCGCACAACCCCCCCGGGGUUGUGGAAGGCCCCCAGUGGACCACUGGGUCGAUAGGCCGGAGGUGCAAGCCCGGCAACGGGCUCAGCCGACCGGUACUAAUAGGCCGACACGAACCACA
This 3189-nucleotide ribosomal RNA is filed under the name human metagenome. RNAcentral's name for it is "bacterial LSU rRNA". It matches the Rfam family "Bacterial large subunit ribosomal RNA". The record is from RNAcentral.